Molecule: transfer RNA, 65 nt
Filed under: Somanniathelphusa boyangensis
Lineage: Eukaryota; Metazoa; Arthropoda; Malacostraca; Decapoda; Parathelphusidae
Description: tRNA-Leu
Source: RNAcentral
ACUAUUUUGGCAGAAAAUAUGCAUUAAAUUUAGGAUUUAAUUAUAUAGGAAAACUAUAAAUAGUA